Molecule: ribosomal RNA, 440 nt
Filed under: uncultured bacterium
Lineage: Bacteria
Description: partial 16S ribosomal RNA
Rfam family: Bacterial small subunit ribosomal RNA
Source: RNAcentral
CCUACGGGAGGCAGCAGUGGGGAAUAUUGCACAAUGGGGGAAACCCUGAUGCAGCGACGCCGCGUGAGUGAAGAAGGAUCUCGGUACGUAAAGCUCUUUUAGCCGGGCAGAAAAUGACGGUACCUGACUAGGAAGCCCCGGCUAACUACGGUCCAGCAGCCGCGGUAAUACGUAGGGGGCAAGCGUUAUUCGGAUUUAUUGGGUGUAAAGGGAGCGUAGGCGGCAGCACAAGUCUGGAGUGAAAUCCCGUGGGCUAACCCCUGAACUGCCUUGGAAACUGUCCGGCUGGAGUGCAGGAGGGGUAAGCGGAAUUCCUGGUGUAGCGGUGAAAUGCGUAGAUAUUAGGAGGAACACCGGUGGCGAAGGCGGCUUACUGGACUGUAACUGACGCUGAGGCACGAAAGCGUGGGGAGCAAACAGGAUUAGAUACCCUAGUAGUC